This 485-nucleotide ribosomal RNA is filed under the name Escherichia coli. RNAcentral's name for it is "bacterial SSU rRNA". It matches the Rfam family "Bacterial small subunit ribosomal RNA", at positions 117 to 599 of the family's 1533-position model. The record is from RNAcentral. Lineage: Bacteria; Pseudomonadati; Pseudomonadota; Gammaproteobacteria; Enterobacterales; Enterobacteriaceae.
CUGGGAACUGCCUGAUGGAGGGGGAUAACUACUGGAAACGGUAGCUAAUACCGCAUAACGUCGCAAGACCAAAGAGGGGGACCUUCGGGCCUCUUGCCAUCGGAUGUGCCCAGAUGGGAUUAGCUAGUAGGUGGGGUAACGGCUCACCUAGGCGACGAUCCCUAGCUGGUCUGAGAGGAUGACCAGCCACACUGGAACUGAGACACGGUCCAGACUCCUACGGGAGGCAGCAGUGGGGAAUAUUGCACAAUGGGCGCAAGCCUGAUGCAGCCAUGCCGCGUGUAUGAAGAAGGCCUUCGGGUUGUAAAGUACUUUCAGCGGGGAGGAAGGGAGUAAAGUUAAUACCUUUGCUCAUUGACGUUACCCGCAGAAGAAGCACCGGCUAACUCCGUGCCAGCAGCCGCGGUAAUACGGAGGGUGCAAGCGUUAAUCGGAAUUACUGGGCGUAAAGCGCACGCAGGCGGUUUGUUAAGUCAGAUGUGAAA